RNAcentral lists this ribosomal RNA (533 nucleotides) under uncultured bacterium. Its description in RNAcentral is "partial 16S ribosomal RNA". It matches the Rfam family "Bacterial small subunit ribosomal RNA", at positions 355 to 902 of the family's 1533-position model. The record is from RNAcentral.
UGGGGAAUAUUGCACAAUGGGCGAAAGCCUGAUGCAGCAACGCCGCGUGAGUGAUGAAGGCCUUCGGGUUGUAAAGCUCUGUCUUUUGGGACGAUAAUGACGGUACCAAAGGAGGAAGCCACGGCUAACUACGUGCCAGCAGCCGCGGUAAUACGUAGGUGGCAAGCGUUGUCCGGAUUUACUGGGCGUAAAGGAUGCGUAGGCGGAUUUUUAAGUGAGAUGUGAAAACCCUAAGCUUAACUUGGGGACUGCAUUUCAUACUGGAAAUCUAGAGUGCGGGAGAGGAGAAUGGAAUUCCUAGUNUAGCGGUGAAAUGCGUAGAGAUUAGGAAGAACACCAGUGGCGAAGGCGAUUCUCUGGACCGUAACUGACGCUGAGGCAUGAAAAGCGUGGGUAGCAAACAGGAUUAGAUACCCUGGUAGUCCACGCCGUAAACGAUGAGUACUAGGUGUAGGAGGUAUCGACCCCUUCUGUGCCGCAGUUAACACAAUAAGUACUCCGCCUGGGAAGUACGAUCGCAAGAUUAAAAACUC